This is a long non-coding RNA of Fundulus heteroclitus (mummichog), 1388 nucleotides long. RefSeq lists it as uncharacterized. The record is from RefSeq and is a predicted model, not a curated record. The transcript is spliced from 2 exons. Lineage: Eukaryota; Metazoa; Chordata; Actinopteri; Cyprinodontiformes; Fundulidae.
AAAGAGUAAAAUAGUUUUUAUUUUAAUUGAAAAUGAAAAUGCAAGUUAAAAGUAUUUGAAUGUACUGUAAUGGUUAUUCAGCCAAAUAAUAUCAGUAGAAAUCCGCUGUAGAUUGCUAGGAUGAGAAACGGAACCUUUCUGUCAUAGUCCGUGUUUCCAGGUGCUCCCUCCCCUCAGAGGAGUUUUGGAAACGAAAGAGAAUGGUUCGGUGUUCUUGAUCCUGUGAUCAUUCACUCUGUUUUUCAGGUUAGUACAACGUGAAAACAACCUCAACUUAUCCCUUAAGAUUCAAUAGUUUAUGUGAAGUUACUGGGAGACCGUUUAUGACAUUUUUGAGUGCUUUAGAUCGAGUUUUAGACACUAUAAAAAGUCCGCGAUUUUCGCGGGUUGUGCUGCUGUUAUUGCCAUGGCAACGGGCGGCUUUGUGACACUGAAGAUGGCGCCGUCCACCGCAUGUACUAAACACAGAGAGAUGGUUGUUUAUAUUCAUCUACGAUAUUACUACUGUUGGUUACCUGAUUACUUGACAACUGUAUUUUAUUAGGUGAAGGGUUUUGUUAUCUUUACAUUUAUUAUAAUACUUUAAUAUUUCUUCUCUUUACAUUUCCAAAUAUUUGUGUUUAAGGGUUUACUGUACACUAUAUGGUUUAUGAAGAUAAGUGAGCCUUUGGUACACUUAUUGUUGUUGGAAUGGUUUGAACAUAUUUGUUAUUUUCCAUUUUUAUUCCCCAUUUGCAAUGAUGUCAGUACGUUUUAAAAAGACAUAUAGAGUAUUCUGAGCAGCUUUAAGCUAAAGAAAAUGAAAGUGAAUUCAUAUUGCACUAUAGUUGUGAUUAGCAGCACUAUAAAAACUGCACUGGCUAACAGUAUUAUUUGUACUAUUUAAUGGCAGCUAUAUGGGACUAGUACCUAUACAGAGAGUGCCCGUGGAUAUAUUUCAAUGUGAAAUGAUGAUGGGUUUAGGUGUUUAUUGAAGUCAAAGCGUGAUACUGAGUGUGAGAGGAACUAAUGUAUUUUGACAGUUAUAUGGUUAUGUUGAAUAUAACAAUAGCUUUAUGGUUAUACUGUAUGUCUGUGUUCUAUGGGAACAGAACAAACAACAACAUUACAUACUCACCUGUUUAAUGGACACUGGACACUGCACAUUCACCUACAUUCACACAUAUCAUACUUACCUGACAGUGACACACACUCACCUACUUACCUGAAACAUACGCUACCUGGAAAAAAAGGGAAUAAGAACUGUAUACAGGUUCGUAUGCACGUUGUACCUGGAAGAGGACACUGAAGGAGACACUAUUGCAGAUUUUGGGAAUAUUUUAUUGGUUGCUUGAUUGAUUGUUUUGUUAUAUAAUUGUGAAUAAAUGAGAGGAGUUUUGGAAACGAAA